Molecule: long non-coding RNA, 1295 nt
Organism: Chrysemys picta bellii (western painted turtle)
Lineage: Eukaryota; Metazoa; Chordata; Testudines; Emydidae
Source: RefSeq, a predicted model, not a curated record
CUAUACAAGGUGCAAGGCAGAAGAGACUGAGGUCAGAGAUCUAAUUAAUCAUUGAAAUACCUACUCAAUUCAGAAUUUCUCAACUAGCCACACACUGUGUAGAAAAACCCUAGAAAACCAUAAACCCAUCAUUGGAGAAAAAGAAUGAUCUAGGGAGAACAAUCCUUGACAUUAUUGAGCAAGAAGUCCAGACUGAUAACUGUUUCCUGGAACAUGAGCUGACAGGAUUCCAAAUAUUAUUUUAGUGCCCCUGAAAUUAAGCUGACUUCAGACCAGAUCCAGAGAGCACAGCAAUGCCAUAGAAUUAGCUGCUCACUUCUCAGGGAAGAUGAUGCUGGAUAGCUAGUACCCAGAGAGAGAGAGCGAGAGAGAGAUACAGGACAAAGAGCUUCGUCGCCAAUUUCUAGAUGUCCAAAUUCACAUUUGAGAUGAACUGCAGAAGGUGAUACAGAAGGUCUUCUAUGCAAGAAAGUCAGUUUCCCAACAACUGGGCUUCACUGAGAAGCAAUGUGGUUUACAGGAUCAAGCACAGGCCAUGGGAUGAGGACUGAAACUUUGUAAUCUGGGCUUUACCACUGAUUCACUGUGUCGUUUAGCAAAUUACAUAGGACCUGAUUCACUAUGACUCAUCACCUUGUACAGUCAUUCACAGCAAUGUGUAAAGUGGACAUGUAACACUACCAAGCCAGAAUGGUAGCAUUUUACACCUAUUUUGCCCUGGUAUAAGUCACUACAUUAGGUGCAGGGGAAUAGUGAAUCAGACCUUACUAUCUUAACCAAGGAUGUAAUAAAUUCAAGAUAAGAAAAUAAUAAUACCUACGUCUUACGUAACACAUUCCACAGUAAAUCUCAAACAGCUUCAUGAAGAAGUACACAUUAUUAUCCCUCUUUUACAGAUGGGAAACUAAGGCACAGACAGGUGAAGUGACUUGCCCAAGGUCACCCAGCAGGCAGUGGCAGAGACAGGAAGAGAAUCCAGGUUCCCCAGUCCACUGAUCUAUCCACUGGGCCAUUUAGGAAUUUCUAGUUCUAAGUCCGAUGUUGAUCUUCAAGGUCACUCAGGCAAUAUUGACUCUGGCCUUUUUCUCUCUUUUUGUCUUAGUUUCCCUAGCUGCAUAAAGGAAUAGUACUACAAUUGGCCUACGUUGCAAAGUGUUAUGAGAAAUAGUGUUUGUAUAGUGCUUUGAAAAGUGUUGUGUGUCUUGACCAGAGCUGCAUGUCACUGUGAAGUGAUAUUACUGUUAAAAAACAAAGUCCUGAUGCACUGAAAUUACAAUGCCAGUUUUAAUUCAAUG